GUUUCGUUCCUCGGCAUCUCAAGCGCAGCAGCGAUGGUGGACAUCGACCACCGGAUGGCCGGGCUGGCCCCGUCGGUGGCGCACACCGCGGCGCUGCGCCGCCUCUCGACGCGCGCCGCCGCGGGGCCGUCAUCGGCGUCCGCGUCGCCGCGCCACGGCCUCCACUCCUUCCACGCCGUGGCUGCAGGCGUGCUCUCCCACCUCCGCGAGUCCGGGGUGGCCGUCCUCCCGGGCCUCUCGGACGCGGAGCUGGUCCGCGCGGAGGCCGAGUUCGGGUUCACGUUCCCGCCCGACCUCCGCGCGGUGCUCGCCCUGGGCGUGCCGUCGGGGCCCGGGUUCCCGGACUGGCGCGGCCGGGCCGGCCUCCGCGCCGCGUUCGACCUCCCCGCGGCGGCGGCGUCGCUCCAGGUCGCGAGGGGCGCGCUGUGGCCGCGGUGCUGGGGCCGGCGGCCGGCCGACCCGGGCCGCGCGCUGCGGCUCGCGCGCUCCGCCGUACGCCGCGCGCCGCCGCUCGUGCCGCUCUUCGACCGCUGCUACCUGCCCUGCCGCCCCUGCCUCGCGGGGAACCCGGUGUUCUUCGUCGCCGACGACCGCGUCCUCUGCUGCGGCCUCGACCUGCUCUACUUCUUCACGCGCGACUCCUCCUUCCAGCCGGCGGACCGCGCCGUCGUCUCCUCCUCGUCCCCGCUCUCCGCCGGCGCGAGCAGGCCGUCGUGCACGCGCCGGAGCCUCGACGCCGUCCAGGCCCCGCGCUGGAUCGAGUUCUGGAGCGACGCCGCGUCGGACCGCCGCCGCCGCGACUCCUCGUCCUCCGAAGCAUCCACCGCCUCCUCGUCCUCCUCCUCGUCGUCGUCCUCAGGAUGCCCAUCGCCACCCCGGCGGCCAACCCCGCGGUGGGUCGACAGCUACCUCGACGAGCUGGGGUCAAUGCUGAAGAAAGGGGGCUGGAGGGACCGAGAAGUGGACGAGAUGGUCGAGGUCACCGCCUCCGGGUUCUUGGACGACGGCGAGGAGGCCCCAACACCCGACUCCGAGGCUAUCCUCGACGCGCUGGUCCUCAAGACCGACCGGUGCUCGGACUCGCUCCGGCGCGCCGGGUGGACCGCCGAGGACGUGUCGGACGCGCUGGGGCUCGACUUCCGGCGCGGCGAGGAGCGCUCCCGGUCGGCCGUGCGGAUCCCGCCGGAGAUCGCCGCCAAGGUCCAACGCCUCGCGCAAGCGCUGGCGCGCCCGUGACGUGACGUCGAUCGAUCUCCCCCGUUCCCGCCGCCGGAGGCUUCCCAUUCUUUGUUUAUCUCCAGUCCGAAUCGAACUGCACUAGUAUAAAAGUGAGAAAGUAAACUAGGCCAUGUUCGCGCGAGUGAAUUAUGCCGUGCUCAUGUGCGCGAAGCACCGUGCGUUGUAAGGAUACAGGAUCCCAGAAGAGAAAUGAGAGCUAAAUUAGCCGAGAAGACACAUUUGCAGUUAAAAACGCUCCAUACUCUGCAACGGACUGGUGAAUCUUUUAAAUGUUUAUUUUGAGUGUGUACCGUUAUUGGAUACCCCCCGUUCGUUAGUACGUCCAAGCUUGAACAACCACGG
This 1581-nucleotide unclassified non-coding RNA is filed under the name Zea mays. Its description in RNAcentral is "misc RNA Zm00001eb100760". The record is from RNAcentral. Lineage: Eukaryota; Viridiplantae; Streptophyta; Magnoliopsida; Poales; Poaceae.